AAACAGAGGAAGAAGGAAUUAGGUUCUGUCAAUGGCCGUUCAACUGAAAUUAAGAAGGCUUUGCCAAGGGACAAUUAUGGUUCCUUCUUUGGACCUUCUCAGCCUGUGAUCGCUCAAAGAGUAAUCCAAGAAAGCAAGUCGCUAUUGGAGAAUACAAAUUUGGCAGCAAAAGUCCUGAAAUCAAACCAUGCUAACGACAGGAGCUCUGCAUCAAAACCCGCAGGAUCAAAAUCUGGCACUAGCAGCCAUGCAUCAAAGGUCACUAAUGGGUUGAAAACAAAGGUCCAGAUGUUAAAAAAUACAAGAGAUUACUCAUUUCUAUUAUCUGAUGAUGCUGAACUUCCUGCUCCAUCAAAAGGAGUACCUCAUAAAGACUGCCCCUUAUUCUGAUGCACGAUUAUCUUCACCGCCAAGCAGCAAGCAAUCUUUAAGUAAUACGCGGAGGAAGCUGCUCAAUGAUCGUGAAGUACGGAAACCUAUACCAGGAAGCAGCCAAAUGCAAUCGAAACUGUUGACGCAGCUAUCAGUUUCUGUUCGUAAACAAUCUCAACUAGCAUUAGAUUUGAGAAAACAGCUUAGUAGCAGUAAAGGGAGUGGGCCUGAUCGGCCUUUGGGGCCAAAAGUGGUGCCUCCCAAAGUUAUAGGGGUUCCAAAUGGCAAGAGGGUUUUGACACCAGGCGUCAAGAGCACUGUGCCUGCUUUGCAUAAGCCAACCCCUUCAAAGUUGCAACCUUCUAUUCCAAGGCAGUCCUUAGUACAGAAAAAGGAACUGCCACAAUCUGGAAAGUCAAAGGGGAUAUCAAAUCAAGCUGUGCCUUCAUCCAAAUCUAAGCAGAUGAUGCAGAAACAGGCAGUGCCGUCAUCCAAAUCUCAGAUAAAGCAACUGCCUCCUAAAACUGCAACUCGUUCUUUGGAAGAUAGGCGCCCAGCAAGAAAACCAAAGAGACAUGAUGAAGAAGGCGAUGGAGCAGAAGCUAUUAGUAUGAUUAGGAGGAUGUUUGGGUACUUAUCAUUCCUUCCUUAUAAGUUUCUUUUAGUUGAUUUUUUGUCCUUUUGGGAAGGUUGGCUUGCAAUGAUUUUUUUUGAAGCUCUAGCUUUAGAAUUUCUGACAUUGCUGGUUGCUUUAGAGUUGAGGGUUCGUGAGACCAGAAACCUUAUAGUCUUGAAGGACCUUUUUGUGCAAGUGGAUAGACUUCCUAAUGGAAACUGAUCAGGUGAAAUAUUCACGUUCUCUGGUCAGAUUCUCUUGCGGUUGAGGAAACAUACAAAAAAGUUGAUUCAGAUAAAACUUGUAUGAUUGGUUCUUUAUUUGAUGUAGUUAAAUUAAGAUCUGUGAUAAACUGCAAGAUGUUGCUAGCUUUGAUAAUGCCUAAUGUUGAAUUUCAUCUCGUUUUGUUGGCUUGAGAAAGUAUGUCUCUUUUUUGUAGGUAUAAUCCCAACAGGUAUCAAGAUGAUGAUGAUACCAGUGAUAUGGAGGCUAAUUUUGAUGACAUACUAAGGGAAGAAAAGCGAAGUGCAAAAAUAGCAAGGAAAGAGGACGAGGAAGAACUUCGGAAGAUAGAAGAAGAAGAGAGGAGGGAGCAGUUGAGAAAGCAGGCAAAGAAGCGCAAGUUGAGUCAUCAUUGAAGGGAAAGAUGGUUUUCCGUUGCUUGAUAGAUAGAACUACUGAGGUUUUCAUUUUUCGCUAGUUAGCCACAAAGUAAAGGGGGGCUGUGGGAAAUUUGUACAGGAAUAUUGAGUCUCCGCUUAAUUUACCUAUUGAUUUGUUUCUAUUGGUUGUUGUAUUGAGAUUUGAGCGUUGCCGCUCAUCGCCCAAGCAGCUGUAGUAGAAUCUUUUUAUCAUUCUGCUGCUGCAAUAAUUUAAUGUCUCUAUUUGCUAAGCUAAAUUUGAGAAAAUUCUUGGGGUACAUGCCCCACACCUUUUGAUUUAGUUACUGUACAUUAUAUUUUGCCGUAA
Molecule: RNA transcript, 1957 nt
Organism: Nicotiana attenuata
Lineage: Eukaryota; Viridiplantae; Streptophyta; Magnoliopsida; Solanales; Solanaceae
Gene name: histone H3.v1-like
Exons: 7
Source: RefSeq, a predicted model, not a curated record